GGUAUAUUUGACUACAUUUUGAAAGGAAAAAGGUAGUCCUGCUAAAAUUGACAUUUAGGGAUAUUUUAAUCUAUGUAUUUGGUAAAGUAAUUAGUGAAGUAUUAGUUAUAAAAAUUUUAAGGAAAACAUUUAAAAGCACAAUAGUCAUAUCAGAUAGAGUAGAAUAUACCAAAGAUAAAACAAGUCUCUGUUACAAAUGAAGUUGUCUGUACAGACAACUGAGAUAUUUUAAUUUUAUUUACAUAAAAAUGCUGUUCAAUAUCUAAUGAUUUCUGUUGUUUGUAUUCUGUACUUUAGAGUAGUAAAAUUAGUUUGAGUAUCUCUUUAGUUCACUUUCAAAAUUGAUCAUUUCAGGACACCGCUGAACAUAACGGAAGGUUUGGGAAAAUAGGUUUGUGUCACAGCCCCUAUGAAAUUAUCAGCCUAGAUGAGGAGCCAUCGCCUGUGUACAGAACUCUUAACAAUCCAUCCACAUGCUGUGAAAUGACAUCAAUUUGGGUGCAUUUUAAACCCUGAGAUUACAGGAGUCUGCAACUACAUUCUAAACUGAGUUCACACUGUUAUUUAUUUCUACCUUCUCAAUCAUUCCUCCAAAUUAAGAUUUACUUAAAAGUUUGAUUUGCUACUUAAACGAAAAUUUGAUACAGUGUUUUCCUCCUUUUACUCCCAGAGCAUCAUGUAUUGGCCUUUUGUAGAAACCAAUCCCUUCAUUACUAUAAUUCUUCUGUUGUUCCACAGUUCUUAGCCCCAAACUACUUUUGGUGAGCUAGGAUGGAAUGAAUGACACUGUUUAGUCAAUAUAUAUUGACAACAAAAAUACAUUGAUAGCUUUGAGCUAGGCACAGAUUGAGGUAAGGGUGCUGGGUAUAGAAAAGGCAUACAAACAACCACAGUACAAUUUCCCAAAAUGGUUAUGUAUCAAGACAUUUAGGUUUCUUUACUGCUGAACUUCAGGGACUUUAAAAGGCUAAUGGACAGACACUGUGAAGGUGAGUUAAGAUUUGUACUGUUUGCCAGACUUCUGUGAAUACCUAUCAACUUCUAUUAGAAAUUAGUUUUUCAGAGCACAGUUUGGAAAAUGCCACUAACAGCAUUGUAGGAUGUAUCAUGAAAAGUAUUCACUAAGGUCACUUUUAACCUUCUCAUUAAAGAUUAUGCAUUGUAAUUUUGUUUCUUUUAAAGUAUUUUUUAUUUAUUAAGAGGAAUCCUUGGAAGUUACUAAUAUUUUGGUGAUGUGAUUUUAAAAAUAUUUUUGAGCGUGAUUACUUUUUAUUUUGACCCAUAAUUUCUAAGUCCAUUUUUUAUUAAUGUAUUAUAGUUUUAGAACAUUCAUUUACUUCUAGUAUCAUAAAAUUCUGUGAAAUACAACUCGUAGUCUAGUAAUUGGGAAUACCUUAAGGGCCUGCUGUUCCAGUUGAUGAUUUUAAUUUGAAUAUUUGUAUGUAGGAUUUAACUGUCAAGUGCUUUAAUUAAUAUUUACAUGUUGUGCUGGUCCAUAAACUAUUUUAACCAUCCAUUAUAUAGUAAUAGAAAAAAGUAGAAAUUUUAGAUUAACUUCUGAUAAGUGACUAUUUUAAAAAUGUUUAUGUAACUUUUGUAAAAAAGUAUAGUAAAAAUUCACUGCUAGCAUCUGUUUUGCUGAAGUCUGAGAAUGAAGGAAAAGGGGUAGUUUAUCAUGAGAAUCAUUUCUUUACAAAUAAAUACUUUAAAUGUGAACCCUAUUAUAUGUAUAGUCAUACAUAUGUAUACAUACAUGUAUAUAUACACACCUACAUAUACUUAUUUCAGCUUCUCCAGUAAAUAUAUGCUAAUUUUGUUAAACUUUUUUUUUUAGUGGGAAGUUAUAUUUCUGCAACGCUUUCUAUAGCAUAUUUAUAAAUUGCUGCUAAGAUUACAACAACCAAGGCAAGAGAAUUGUUAAUACUAACAUAAAUUCUGACACACCAUUCUUCUUACUUGAUAUGUUUUUUGCUGACAGAUACCCCAAAUAGAGUCAAUAUUGUUGAAGCCCUAGUAACUUCAUUUGAAAGUCAUAAAAAUAACUCCAUCCAGUAAAAUCUAAAAUAAAUGUUCUUAAGUCCUAAUAAUCAGAAAUAUUUGUCAAAUUGAAAGAAUUUACAAGAUGUGUCCCUAUUAUAUGUUAUCUUCACUGUCAGCAGGGUAUGUCUGGACAUGUGCACAGAAAAGAGAAACACGUAGAUUGCGGACUGUUCUGCCUUUGUCUUUCAAAGUGCCUUCCGCUUUACGAUCUAUAUACACUCCUUGCAAAAUCAAGAGUCUUUUUCAUUUCCUGCUCUAGGUGCAUCCAUUUUACCAGGGCCUAGAGUAUGAUUGGAGAGUGCUCCUGGAGCAUCAUCAGGCCACGUUCCUCAGUGCCUUCAGCCCUUAUAAACCUGUGUAGCAAGCCACUAGCUUCAGUUCUCCAUCACCUUAAGUCUCCCCUCAUAAACAUCUGGGCGAUUAAAAAAAUAUUUUAAACAUUAAAAUACCAAGUGUCAAAGAAGGGGAAUUUCUUAAGCCUAGUGGUACACUGAUAAGUGGUUAGCUACCAACUCUUGGGAGAAAAAAAAGCUCCAAUUUGUAGUGCUUCCCAAUUUUUGUCAUGUAAUACUCCCAUCUGGCUGAUUUCAAGCUAUCAAUGUGAAGUCACUUAAUGCUGAGUUGGAAUGAGACACACAUACUUUGCUCUUUUGAGAUGAUAUGAACUGGCUCCAGGUCCCCUCUGCCAGAUAAAGUUAUUAAACAUUGAUCCCAUAAUUUCUGAAAAAUAGUCAUAAUAAGCUAUAGCAUUACGUGUAGUUAAAUGAUCCUUCAAAAUCUAUGAAAUUCCUAUUUGCCAUCAAAUACAUUACAAGAAUAAAAUUAAAAGAAAUGUUCUAAACAAUAAUAAUCUAGGAAAAUUAAGCAUAUAAAAGCUUUGAAAAAUUUUAUAAGCAAAUUAUUUUGCUGAUGUAAAUCUGACAUAAAUCAUAUAAAUUGAUAAAAGCAUUGUGUGUUUAUGGGAUUAUAAUUUUUUUAAAGAGUUUCCCUGUAUUUCCAUGGCUUUGAAAAUUAUAUCCCCAGAUAAAUUGUGGCAUUUCCUUUGUGCAUGUUGGUGCAAUUUUACAUUAUGAAAUUGUCGUGUAGAUUCAUUACACCUAUUUUCCAAACAAAAAUGACCAUAAUUCAGAUAUGAACCUAUCAUAUACCAAGCUCUAAACCGUAUAAAAACAUUCUAUCACUAAUGUAUUUGCAGGCACAUUAAUAAGAUAUUUACCCAUUUUGUAACAAAGAUUCUUGGUCAGAAAACCUCGGAAUUUUUACUUUUGAUAAUCUGUCUGUUUCAGGUACCAGACUUGAUCCAGAUUUGGGAGCUUGUAUGUAUUAGCUUUUAUUAGAGUACAAUGGGUAACAGACUACCUCCAUUGUUUCAGUAGCUUUCAACAACAUGUAUUUUUCAUUGUGUGGCUUGUUGGCUGCUGUGGGUUAAUUGCUGUGGCUGCACUUCAGGAUGUGAUUCAGGUUCAGGUUUACUCUAUUCAGGCCCCAGGCUGAAAGAGAAGGCCCUACCUGGGAUAUGCCCUUCUAGUGGCAGAGGGCAUUAAAGCAAGAGAACUGGCAGCAUUGUGAAAUGCACUGAAAAGUUCAUCAAGUCUGUUUGCAUUGUGUUGACCAAGCAAGUCACGUGGCUAAACCCAGUCAUUGGUCAGCAAAGCUGCUCUUCCUAUAGGGAACCAUUGUAAGUCACAUCCAAAGGUUUUGGGAACAAAUAAUUCUGAAUAAUAAUACCCGAGGUACUACAGUGUACUACAGAUAUUUCAGCUCUUUAAGUAGCCAAAAUAUCUCAAUAUAAAACAAAAUAAGAUCUUAAUUUUUUAAAAAGAAGUAUAAUAUUGAAUACACUGGUUUAGGUUCAGAAUUUUUAGAAAGAUCCUCACUCUUUUUAAGAUUUUACCCAAAUAAUCACCUAAUUCCAUGGGAAAUAAAAAAUAGGAUAAACUAAUAGAAAUAUUUCCGAAACGAGUCGUGAGGAAUCCAUAAUCAACUGUGCUACCUUUUGACUAUUUAACUUUGAGUCUCAACUUCCUCAUCUGUAAACUAAGCAAGUUGUUCUAAAAGGUUCCUAAGGUCGUUCUCAGUGUAAAGGUCUCAUUCUAAUGCUUUUUUAUUGUCACCUAAUUAACAAAGCAUAUCCUGCAAUUUUUAUUAUAGUUUAACUCAGUUUUUUUUAGAAGUAUGGCAGAGCAGUAAAACUUUAAUUUUCUUUUAUUUGUAUCCCUCUAUUCAAAAAUGGAUUUGAGAUAAAGUAAUAGGAUAUGAUCUUCCUUGUUUUUACUUAGUAUUCAAGUAGCGGAACCUAGCUUUAAAAUAGUCAAGUCACUAAAAUUCUCUUGCUUUACCAUAGAGUCACUGAUUUAAACAUGUAUAUGUAAGAAUCAUCUGGAAGCUUGUUUAAAAUGUAAAUUUCGAGUCCACAAACCCCUGGAGAUUCUGAUACUACAAGGCCAGAAAACUACAUUUUUAACAAGUACCCCAGGUUUCCGAAGUAACCUAAGCAGUACAAACCCUAUAAAUUAUUUUGGUGAUAAUAGGGAAAAAAAAACCUUUCACAUGCUGGGAUACUACAUACUUAGUAUAAUAAUUUAAAAUUAAUUAUUAAUACCAUGUGUCUCAUUAUUUGGUGUUUGUAUUUUAUCUUUAUGAAUUAAUUUUUGUCACUACAUUUAGUGUAUUGGACUAUACACUAGUCCAAUGCUAUAAAUUGUCACUGUAAGUGAUGGUAUUAUUUUCAUAUAUAAAGUUUAGAAAUGUAGAAACCAAAAUACCUUAAUGUUCCUUUGAAAUGAAAGUGCUUUGAUUAGUAUUAGCAUUCCCCAGAAACAUACAGGGUAGGUCAAUCUCAGAAUGAAAUACUAUGAAAUGAGAACUACUGUUGAAUUAGUGCAUCCAAUCUCUUUGCUUCUUCCUUGUUUCCUUACAAUCUAGUCCUCCUUUUAAAACAUAGUCAGAUAAUGUCAUUUCUGUGCCUAAAACCCUUCAGAAUAAAAACCAAAGCCCUUUAUCUUUGCUACCUUUGAAACCUUACGUCCCCAGCUCCUUCCCCUACUCCCAUCCCCACCCCCAGCUCUCUGCACCCUGCUCCUUGCUGAAAUACUCCACUUAAAGUGCUCUUCCCUAUGUAUCUUCAGCCCUCCAGGUCUCACUUUCUUCAGGUCUCUGCUCAAAUAUUGCCUAUGCACAGAGGCCUUUAUUGACCACCCAAACUAAAACAGCAUAUUCCCCUCUCCUCAUCAAUCGUUAGCCCUUAUAACUUGCUAUAGUUUUAUUUAUAGCACUUUUGACUAUUUGACAUGUAUUCAUUUGUAUCCACUCUAUAAUUUUAAGUUCUUCAAGCACAAGUACUUUGUCUUGGCACUGCUAUAUUGCUAGGACUUACAAUAGUAUCUGGCACAUAGUAGGUGCUCAGUAAAUAAUUGUUUGACAAAUACUGGUGAUUACCCACAGCUUGGCCUGUCUCCAGUAUAAGGCAAGGCUAUUAAAAUCCAAGUUUAAUAAAGUAGGCAAUGUUUUUAAAGGCAGUUUUAUUUUCUCUUAAUUUCCCAUCUAUUUGAAAGUCAUUUUAAUUUAAAAUACUUUCAGAAUUAUCAUCCCUUUUGCAAACUCUGUUCUUCCCAUCUUUUUCUUGUCUGUUUUGCAGAUAUAUGAGAUAAUUUAUUUUGAAUUAUGGCAAUUGAAAGUUGAUGUUUAAUUUCAACAGGAUUUAAUUACUUAAUUGAAAUAUGAAACUCCAACUGUGAAUUCAAUGUUGGGGAAAGCACCAGAUUUACCUUCCCAUAAGCACUUGACUUUCAUAGGAUACAUAUAUGGGAAAGGUGUAUGAAUGGCUAAUAACAUUCAGAAUUUCCUCUGAAAACUAGAAAUCUUGAUUAAAAAACUGACUAAAAGAAUAAUUUGGCCAGGUGCAGUGGCUCAUGCCUGUAAUCCCAGCACUUUGGGAGCCUGAGGGGGGCAGAUCGCUUGAGCCCAGGAGUUCAAGACCUGGCUGGGCAACAUGGUGAAACCCUGUCUGUACAAAAAAAUACAAAAAUUAGCUGGGCAUGAUGGCACACACCUGUGAUCUCAGCUAUUUGGGAGGCUGAGAUGGGAGGAUGGCUUGAGCCAGGAGGCAGAACUUGCAGUGAGAUCACACCACUGCAUUCAAGCCUGGGUGACAGAGCGAGACCCUGUCUCAAAAAAAAAAAAAAAA
Long non-coding RNA from Macaca fascicularis (crab-eating macaque), 6226 nucleotides. NCBI's taxonomy places the organism in Eukaryota, Metazoa, Chordata, Mammalia, Primates, Cercopithecidae. The record is from Ensembl.